GAUGAACGCUGGCGGCGUGCCUAUACAUGCAAGUCGAGCGAACAGACGAGGAGCUUGCUCCUCUGACGUUAGCGGCGGACGGGUGAGUAACACGUGGAUAACCUACCUAUACGACUGGGAUAACUUCGGAAAACCGGAGCUAAUACCGGAUAACAUGUUGAACCGCAUGGUUCAACAGUGAAAGACGGUCUUGCUGUCACUUAUAGAUGGAUCCGCGCCGCAUUAGCUAGUUGGUAAGGUAACGGCUUACCAAGGCAACGAUGCGUAGCCGACCUGAGAGGGGGAUAGGCGACGCUGGAACUGGGACACGGUCCAGACUCCUACGGGAGGCCGCAGUAGGGAAUCUUCCGCAAUAGGCGAAAGCCUGACGGAGCAACGCCGCGUGAGUGAAGAAGGUCUUCGGAUCGUAAAACUCUGUUAUUAGGGAAGAACAAAUGUGUAAGUAACUAUGCACGUCUUGACGGUACCUAAUCAGAAAGCCACGGCUAACUACGUG
This 496-nucleotide ribosomal RNA is filed under the name uncultured bacterium. RNAcentral's name for it is "partial 16S ribosomal RNA". It matches the Rfam family "Bacterial small subunit ribosomal RNA", at positions 28 to 507 of the family's 1533-position model. The record is from RNAcentral.